RNAcentral lists this ribosomal RNA (524 nucleotides) under uncultured bacterium. Its description in RNAcentral is "partial 16S ribosomal RNA". It matches the Rfam family "Bacterial small subunit ribosomal RNA", at positions 28 to 523 of the family's 1533-position model. The record is from RNAcentral.
GACGAACGCUGGCGGCGUGCCUAAUACAUGCAAGUCGAGCGCAGGAAGCUGACGGAACUCUUCGGAGGAAAGGUAGUGGAAUGAGCGGCGGACGGGUGAGUAACACGUAAGGAACCUGCCUCAAGGAUUGGGAUAACUCCGAGAAAUCGGAGCUAAUACCGGAUAGUUCAACGGACCGCAUGGUCCGCUGAUGAAAGGCGCUCCGGCGUCACCUUGAGAUGGCCUUGCGGUGCAUUAGCUAGUUGGUGGGGUAACGGCCCACCAAGGCGACGAUGCAUAGCCGACCUGAGAGGGUGAUCGGCCACACUGGGACUGAGACACGGCCCAGACUCCUACGGGAGGCAGCAGUAGGGAAUCUUCCACAAUGGACGAAAGUCUGAUGGAGCAACGCCGCGUGAGUGAUGAAGGUUUUCGGAUCGUAAAACUCUGUUGUAAGGGAAGAACACGUACGAGAGGGAAUGCUCGUACCUUGACGGUACCUUACGAGAAAGCCACGGCUAACUACGUGCCAGCAGCCGCCGUAA